This 242-nucleotide ribosomal RNA is filed under the name uncultured bacterium. Its description in RNAcentral is "partial 16S ribosomal RNA". It matches the Rfam family "Bacterial small subunit ribosomal RNA", at positions 334 to 567 of the family's 1533-position model. The record is from RNAcentral.
GACACCCUACGGGGGGCAGCAGUAGGGAAUCUUCCACAAUGGGCGCAAGCCUGAUGGAGCAACACCGCGUGAGUGAAGAAGGGUUUCGGCUCGUAAAGCUCUGGUGUUGGAGAAGAAAGUGCGUGAGAGUAACUGUUCACGCAGUGACGGGAUCCAACCAGAAAGGCACGGAUAACUACGUGCCAGCAGACGCGGUAAUACGUAGGUGGCAAGCGUUAUCCGGAUUUAUUGGGCGUAAAGCG